This 414-nucleotide ribosomal RNA is filed under the name uncultured bacterium. RNAcentral describes it as "bacterial SSU rRNA". It matches the Rfam family "Bacterial small subunit ribosomal RNA", at positions 29 to 486 of the family's 1533-position model. The record is from RNAcentral.
AGCGAACGCUGGCGGAAUGCUUAACACAUGCAAGUCGCACGGUCAGCAAUGGCAGUGGCGGACGGGUGAGUAACGCGUAGGAAUAUGUCCAGAGGGUGGGGGACAACCCCGGGAAACUGGGGCUAAUACCGCAUAUGAGCUGAGGCUCAAAGCAGUGAUGCGCCUUUGGAGUAGCCUGCGUCCGAUUAGCUUGUUGGUGGGGUAAAGGCUUACCAAGGCGACGAUCGGUAGCUGGUCUGAGAGGACGACCAGCCACACUGGGACUGAGACACGGCCCAGACUCCUACGGGAGGCAGCAGUGGGGAAUAUUGGACAAUGGGCGCAAGCCUGAUCCAGCAAUUCCGCGUGGGUGAAGAAGGUCUUCGGAUUGUAAAGCCCUUUCGACGGGGGACGAUGAUGACGGUACCCGUAGAA